Hipposideros armiger (great roundleaf bat) is the source of this 865-nucleotide long non-coding RNA. RefSeq lists it as uncharacterized. The transcript has 3 exons. The record is from RefSeq and is a predicted model, not a curated record. Lineage: Eukaryota; Metazoa; Chordata; Mammalia; Chiroptera; Hipposideridae.
GCGUCACCCGCGCGGGAGAGGAUGCGAGGGUCCAAGGGGGUGCGAGGCGAGGGGGUGCCCAGACGCAAAAAGAUGAGGAAAUAACUCUUGUGCUGCCAAACUGAGGUUCAGGUGUGAGGCCGUCAGAGCAGGAAGCCUGUGAAAACGGUCAACAGUACCUACGUGGCAUAGGUGACCAUCAGCACUAGUAGCAACGUGCCGAAGGAUUAAAAGCUGCACGAAGCAGGGUGACAGAGCUGAAAGGUCGCAUGGAAUCGGGUUGGAGGCAGCCAUAUUGGUCCAUGCACAAGAUGAGUGACUGUGACAAUUCUGUGGUGUAUUCAGAUGCCUUUUACAGUGAGGAAGAGGAGGCUUAGAGAAGUGAAUGACUAACACAGGGCAAAGCUGAGAAUCAGUGGUCUCCUGGCUCCACGUUUGGGGGUCCACUACCCCACUACUCUCUGUGGAACCUCAAUCCCUCAGUUAUGGAAGAAUCAUGUCAACCAGGUACAGGGAGCCUACAUUCACUGAGCACCAACGUGAACCAAGCUUCUUGGCACCUGUAAUGAAUUGUCCCCUCACAAGAACAUGGGGAACUAGUCUUACGGAACUUAUGUUAUAGCAUGCAAUGACCCAACCAAGGAAAUACACUGGGAGUAAUGAGGAGCGUUAGAAUUAAGCUCCAUUUCUGGAUGGCUUGGACGUUCUGCAUGAGCGAUGUGCCUGAGGAAGCCCCUUGCAGUCCGUUCCCAAUGGUUUCGACGUCUGCAAAUGGGCAUGUGGAAAGGGGCAGCCCUGGGAAAUGUGUCUUACUCGCCAGCUGGAGGCCCCGCCUCGCCAUGGGGCUUCCUGCCGCAUGGGCUGCUUCCAGGGAAGCCUUCGAGGG